GAGUGGCGAACGGGUGAGUAACAUAUCGGAACGUGCCCAGUCGUGGGGGAUAACGUAGAGAAAUUUACGCUAAUACCGCAUACGAUCUAAGGAUGAAAGCGGGGGAUCGCAAGACCUCGCGCGAUUGGAGCGGCUGAUAUCAGAUUAGGUAGUUGGUGGGGUAAAGGCCUACCAAGCCUGCGAUCUGUAGCUGGUCUGAGAGGACGACCAGCCACACUGGAACUGAGACACGGUCCAGACUCC
This 243-nucleotide ribosomal RNA is filed under the name uncultured bacterium. RNAcentral's name for it is "partial 16S ribosomal RNA". It matches the Rfam family "Bacterial small subunit ribosomal RNA", at positions 93 to 339 of the family's 1533-position model. The record is from RNAcentral.